GUUAGGGUGGCAGAGCCAAGUAUUGCAAAAGACCUAAGAUCUUUCCAACAGAAGUGCAAAUCUUCUCCUUAACU
Molecule: transfer RNA, 74 nt
Filed under: Oplurus grandidieri
Lineage: Eukaryota; Metazoa; Chordata; Lepidosauria; Squamata
Description: tRNA-Leu specifyig UUR codons
Source: RNAcentral